CGGCGACCUCUUCAGUACAUGUGGGGUCGUCAUUCGCCGAGCUCCUUUUCGGUUUUUAUGCCGUUCGAAGAUACCCACUUGUCAGGUUUGCUUGGGGCCCUUCGGGCCCAAGAUUCCUCCUAGGGCUUGAACCCGGGGAUUCGAGCUCCCGUUGCCUUCGGGCACUAGUUGCUUUUCUUUUUUGCUUGGAUUUUUCUCCGCUGAAGUCGGGGCUAAGUUCGGCUCCCUUGAUAGUCCGAACGGAGAAGCCCUCCUGAAGUUGGAGUAGCCCGGCUCUCGUAAGAGUCAGGGCAAAGUUUUUCUGCAAUCAAAGUCAUAGGCAAAGUCCGGCUUCCGUAGA
RNAcentral lists this long non-coding RNA (340 nucleotides) under Elaeis guineensis (African oil palm). RNAcentral describes it as "long non-coding RNA (EGUI_LNC015785)". The record is from RNAcentral. Lineage: Eukaryota; Viridiplantae; Streptophyta; Magnoliopsida; Arecales; Arecaceae.